This 472-nucleotide ribosomal RNA is filed under the name uncultured bacterium. RNAcentral describes it as "bacterial SSU rRNA". It matches the Rfam family "Bacterial small subunit ribosomal RNA", at positions 355 to 825 of the family's 1533-position model. The record is from RNAcentral.
UGGGGAAUAUUGGACAAUGGGCGAAAGCCUGAUCCAGCCAUGCCGCGUGUGUGAAGAAGGUCUUCGGAUUGUAAAGCACUUUAAGUUGGGAGGAAGGGCAGUUACCUAAUACGUGAUUGUUUUGACGUUACCGACAGAAUAAGCACCGGCUAACUCUGUGCCAGCAGCCGCGGUAAUACAGAGGGUGCAAGCGUUAAUCGGAAUUACUGGGCGUAAAGCGCGCGUAGGUGGUUAGUUAAGUUGGAUGUGAAAUCCCCGGGCUCAACCUGGGAACUGCAUUCAAAACUGACUGACUAGAGUAUGGUAGAGGGUGGUGGAAUUUCCUGUGUAGCGGUGAAAUGCGUAGAUAUAGGAAGGAACACCAGUGGCGAAGGCGACCACCUGGACUGAUACUGACGCUGAGACGCGAAAGCGUGGGGAGCAAACAGGAUUAGAUACCCUAGUAGUCCCUGAGCGGGCUGGCAAGGCGCAU